UACAGAGGGUGCGAGCGUUGUUCGGAAUUAUUGGGCGUAAAGGGCGCGUAGGCGGUGCGGUAAGUCACCUGUGAAAUCUCCUGGCUCAACUGGGAGCUUGCAGGCGAAACUGCCGUGCUGGAGUGUGGGAGAGGUGCGUGGAAUUCCUGGUGUAGCGGUGAAAUGCGUAGAUAUCGGAAGGAACACCUGUGGCGAAAGCGGCUCACUGGACCAUUACUGACGCUGAGGCACGAAAGCUAGGGGAGCAAACAGG
This 253-nucleotide ribosomal RNA is filed under the name uncultured bacterium. RNAcentral describes it as "partial 16S ribosomal RNA". It matches the Rfam family "Bacterial small subunit ribosomal RNA", at positions 524 to 776 of the family's 1533-position model. The record is from RNAcentral.